RNAcentral lists this long non-coding RNA (266 nucleotides) under Ananas comosus (pineapple). RNAcentral's name for it is "long non-coding RNA (ACOM_LNC018428)". The record is from RNAcentral. Lineage: Eukaryota; Viridiplantae; Streptophyta; Magnoliopsida; Poales; Bromeliaceae.
AAGUAUAUAUAUUCGAACUAUGUCAAGUCGAACGCGAGGGAACUGGUCCAAGCUUAUGUUUGGCUCUUUAAAAUAUUGAGCGGAAAUAUUUAGUUUGUGUUCAGUUCACUUAUUAAAUGAAUAGUUUGAUCUCAAGUUUAUUUCGAAUUGAAUGUGAAUUGGCUCGUAAACAACGAGCUGAGUUGUCAGCUCUGACAUUAUGAUAAUAUAUUUGAACACACCGAGUAAUGUUCUUAGUAUCCUUACCAUUACCAUUUACAUCUUCU